This 587-nucleotide ribosomal RNA is filed under the name uncultured bacterium. Its description in RNAcentral is "bacterial SSU rRNA". It matches the Rfam family "Bacterial small subunit ribosomal RNA", at positions 338 to 916 of the family's 1533-position model. The record is from RNAcentral.
CCUACGGGAGGCAGCAGUGGGGAAUUUUGGACAAUGGGCGCAAGCCUGAUCCAGCAAUGCCGCGUGAGUGAAGAAGGCCUUCGGGUUGUAAAGCUCUUUUGUCAGGGAAGAAACGGUGGAGGUUAAUACCUUCUGCUAAUGACGGUACCUGAAGAAUAAGCACCGGCUAACUACGUGCCAGCAGCCGCGGUAAUACGUAGGGUGCAAGCGUUAAUCGGAAUUACUGGGCGUAAAGCGUGCGCAGGCGGUUGUGCAAGACAGAUGUGAAAUCCCCGGGCUCAACCUGGGAAUUGCAUUUGUGACUGUACGGCUAGAGUGUGUCAGAGGGGGGUAGAAUUCCACGUGUAGCAGUGAAAUGCGUAAAGAUGUGGAGGAAUACCGAUGGCGAAGGCAGCCCCCUGGGAUAACACUGACGCUCAUGCACGAAAGCGUGGGGAGCAAACAGGAUUAGAUACCCUGGUAGUCCACGCCCUAAACGAUGUCUACUAGUUGUCGGGUCUUUAUUGACUUGGUAACGCAGCUAACGCGUGAAGUAGACCGCCUGGGGAAGUACGGUCGCAAGAUUAAAACUUCAAAGGAAUUGACGG